This 501-nucleotide ribosomal RNA is filed under the name uncultured bacterium. Its description in RNAcentral is "partial 16S ribosomal RNA". It matches the Rfam family "Bacterial small subunit ribosomal RNA", at positions 29 to 523 of the family's 1533-position model. The record is from RNAcentral.
AUUGAACGCUGGCGGCAUGCCUUACACAUGCAAGUCGAACGGCAGCACGGGUGCUUGCACCUGGUGGCGAGUGGCGAACGGGUGAGUAAUACAUCGGAACGUACCUUAUCGUGGGGGAUAACGCAGCGAGAGCUGUGCUAAUACCGCAUACGCCCUGAGGGGGAAAGCGGGGGAUCGCAAGACCUCGCGCGAUUAGAGCGGCCGAUGCCUGAUUAGCUAGUUGGUGGGGUAAAAGCCCACCAAGGCGACGAUCAGUAGCUGGUCUGAGAGGACGAUCAGCCACACUGGGACUGAGACACGGCCCAGACUCCUACGGGAGGCAGCAGUGGGGAAUUUUGGACAAUGGGGGCAACCCUGAUCCAGCAAUGCCGCGUGAGUGAAGAAGGCCUUCGGGUUGUAAAGCUCUUUUGUCAGGGAAGAAACACCGGCUCUAACACAGUCCGGGAAUGACGGUACCUGAAGAAUAAGCACCGGCUAACUACGUGCCAGCAGCCGCGAUAA